This 517-nucleotide ribosomal RNA is filed under the name uncultured Glomeromycotina. Its description in RNAcentral is "SSU rRNA". It matches the Rfam family "Eukaryotic small subunit ribosomal RNA", at positions 569 to 1092 of the family's 1831-position model. Lineage: Eukaryota; Fungi; Glomeromycota. The record is from RNAcentral.
AGCAGCCGCGGUAAUUCCAGCUCCAAUAGCGUAUAUUAAAGUUGUUGCAGUUAAAAAGCUCGUAGUUGAAUUUCGGGGUCAGUAGGUCGGUCGUGCCACAGGUAUGCACUGGUCUCACCGAUUCCUCCUUCCUGAUGAACCGUAAUGCCAUUAAUUUGGUGUUGCGGGGAGACUGGACUGUUACUUUGAAAAAUUGAGUGUUUAAAGCAGGCUAACGCUUGAAUACAUUAGCAUGGAAUAAUGAAAUAGGACGUUCGAUUCUAUUUUGUUGGUUUCUAGGAUUGACGUAAUGAUUAAUAGGGAUAGUUGGGGGCAUUAGUAUUCAAUUGUCAGAGGUGAAAUUCUUGGAUUUAUUGAAGACUAACUACUGCGAAAGCAUUUGCCAAGGAUGUUUUCAUUAAUCAAGAACGAAGUUAGGGGAUCGAAGACGAUCAGAUACCGUCGUAGUCUUAACCAUAAACUAUGCCGACUAGGGAUCGGAUGAUGUUAAUUUUAAUGACUCAUUCGGCGCCUUAAC